CAGUAGCCGCGGUAACACGUAGGUGGCAAGCGUUGUCCGGAAUUAUUGGGCGUAAAGCGGGCGCAGACGGUUACUUAAGCAGGAUGUGAAAUCCCCGGGCUCAACCUGGGAAUUGCGUUCUGAACUGGGUGGCUAGAGUGUGUCAGAGGGGGGUAGAAUUCCACGUGUAGCAGUGAAAUGCGUAGAGAUGUGGAGGAAUACCGAUGGCGAAGGCAAUCCCCUGGGCCUGCACUGACGCUCAUGCACGAAAGCGUGGGGAGCAAACAGGAUUAGAUACCCCAGUAGUCCCUGUCUCUUAUAC
Molecule: ribosomal RNA, 301 nt
Filed under: uncultured bacterium
Lineage: Bacteria
Description: partial 16S ribosomal RNA
Rfam family: Bacterial small subunit ribosomal RNA
Source: RNAcentral